AUUGCUUCUCGGCCUUUUGGCUAAGAUCAAGUGUAGUAUCUGUUCUUAUCAGUUUAAUAUCUGAUACGUCCUCUAUCUGAGGACAAUAUAUUAAAUGGAUUUUUGGAGCAGGGAGAUGGAACAGGAGCUUGCUCCGUCCACUCCACACAUCAACCUGAUAUUACAGUACUUCCAGAAAUGGUGCACCAAAA
RNAcentral lists this small nuclear RNA (191 nucleotides) under Echinops telfairi (small Madagascar hedgehog). Its description in RNAcentral is "U2 spliceosomal RNA (ENSETEG00000021692.1)". It matches the Rfam family "U2 spliceosomal RNA". Rfam says of the family: U2 is a small nuclear RNA (snRNA) component of the spliceosome (involved in pre-mRNA splicing). Complementary binding between U2 snRNA (in an area lying towards the 5' end but 3' to hairpin I) and the branchpoint sequence (BPS) of the intron results the bulging out of an unpaired adenosine, on the BPS, which initiates a nucleophilic attack at the intronic 5' splice site, thus starting the first of two transesterification reactions that mediate splicing. Lineage: Eukaryota; Metazoa; Chordata; Mammalia; Afrosoricida; Tenrecidae. The record is from RNAcentral.